UUAUUAUUAUUAUUAUUAUUAUUGCGUGUUUUUAAAAUUUAUUUUUCUAUGUUAUGUUUUAUGAGUUUUGGAUUGAUUCUUUAUGGUGCCUUGAAUUAGGAAAAACAAGUGGCGAAAAAUCAUCCUUGGAAAGCUUCGCAAUUUGAGAUUUUGUUAGGGAUUUUGUUGUCAAUUUCGUGGAAGAGCCCUUUCUGAUUUAGGUUUUUUUGUUAUUUGGAUCUCAGGGAUUGCAUAAACCAGGUUAAUAUCAUCUGGGGUUGAAUUUUACAGGCAAUCAUGUCAGUCACAGCCGGUGUCAGUGAUAUUGCUCUAGCUGUCAGGGACAAGCUUAGAGGUAAAAUUGGGCAAACUAAAGUUAAAAGGUAUUGGCCUGGCAAAGCACCCGAGUGGGCUGAUGAUGCUGAUGAAGAUGGGGAUAUCAAAAUGGCUAGGGCAGAUGCCCUGGAGAAAGCUUUUCCUACUCAGGAAGAUUCAGAUUUUGCUAGGAAAGAUGAUCCUAGACUGCGUCGUCUGGCUGAGAGCAGGAUUGAUAACCGUGACGAAGUGAGAGCUGAUCACCGGCGCAUCCGGCAAGCUGAAAUUAUUGCAACAGAAGAGGAGGAAACCCGGAGACAAGAAUGGGCAGAUAUGGAGGAAGAGAAUGAGGAAGCCUUGGAGGAAAGAAGAAGAAGAAUUAAGGAGAAGUCACGUCUGAGAGAGCAAGAAGAAGCUGCACUUCCGGCUGAAGAAGAGGAGGAAGAAGCGGAAGAAGAGGAGGAAGAGGAAUCUGAAUAUGAAACUGACUCUGAAGAAGAAACAAUGGGUUUGGCCAUGGUCAAGCCAAUCUUUGUGCCAAAGUCUGAGAGAGAAACCAUAGCUGAGCGUGAGCGGCUUGAGGCUGAAGAACGAGCUAUUGAGGAAAAGGAAAGGAGGAAAUUGGAGGAAAGGAAGGUGGAGACAAAGCAAAUAUUGGUUGAGGAGAUUCAGAAGGAGGAACUAAUUCAGAAGAAUUUGGAAAUGGAGGCAAAUAUUGCCGAUGUGGACACCGAUGAUGAAGUCAAUGAGGCAGAGGAGUAUGAGGCUUGGAAGGUGAGAGAGAUUGCAAGGAUCAAAAGGGAUAGAGAUGAUCGUGAGGCAAUGUUGAAGGAGAAAGAAGAGAUUGAGAAGGUGAGAAACAUGACAGAUGAAGAGAGGAGGGAGUGGGAGAGGAAAAAUCCGAAACCUGCCGCACUACCAAAGCAGAAGUGGAGGUUCAUGCAGAAAUACUACCAUAAGGGUGCUUUCUUCCAGAAUGAGGCUGAUGAUACUGCUGCCACUACUGGAACAGAUUCAAUUUACAAGCGUGAUUUCUCCGCCCCAACUGGAGAAGAUAAGAUGGACAAAUCCAUAUUACCUAAAGUUAUGCAAGUCAAACACUUCGGCCGUAGUGGAAGAACCAAAUGGACGCAUCUUGUCAAUGAGGAUACAACUGAUUGGAACAACCCUUUCUGGAGGUUGCCUGCAAAAGUUUGGGUAAAAUAAGCCGCUUUGCGGCUGGUACCAGGGCAGGAUUUGCUGUGUCUUUGAUAAACAGGAAGUUAGAAGCUGGAGCCGCUCUUGUUUUGCAUAUUGAAGCAGUUAAAAGAGGGGGAGGAACCCAUAAGUUUUGGGCCUGAUGCGAUUCUUGUGGAUUAUAGCAAUGGCUGGAAGCUGCAAACUGUUACUGAUUUGGAUUUUGGUGGUGUUAGAAAAGCAGAAAGCAUUCAGCUGAUUCCAACACAAGCCCCUAAUUUAGUAUGAUCUUCUUUCUUAUCUGUUUGGAAUUUUCUGUGUUGUCUGUUUGAGUGUGUUGGUGGAUCUGAGAUUUGAGAUUUUUAUUGGUGAAGCCAGUUAUUCACUGCAAAAAUUAAAUCUUUGUUUCUAUGUUUGUUGCAAUGACAUUAUUUCUAUGAACCAUUAAUCCAUGGAAAAUAGUGUGGAAUAUGGAUGGUUCUAGUGGACUUCUUCUGGGAAAAUUACAAAGACGGAAUCGGUAUUUUUUUUCCAUUCAAAUAUUUUUGCCUACACAUGUCGGGUAGCUAAUUGCAUAUUAGAAAUUCGAGAUAUUCAUAUAUAAAUUCUUCAAACUACUGGUCCAGCAACAUUUUCCGAUGUGUUACUGAAGAAUUUGAUUGCAAAAUUAACUGCAAGCAAGGAUAGCUCUCCAAAAGGCUCCACCUUUCUUCUUAGUUUAGAUAACAGAUGGCCCCAAUUUUGGUGAAUAGCCAUCUUUUGGUUGGAUUCAUUUGAAUGGCUUGGUUAAGAUCUAGAGCAUCCUAGUAUGUGAUUCAUGUGUGCAUAUAUUUUCAAUUCUUUAUCAAUCAAUAACAAGGGGCUUUCAACAUGGUUAAUGCAGAGUUCUAUGAAGUUCAGAAAAAUGCUAUAGCUUUUAGAUUAGUAACCCUAUCUUGACAAGUUCUUAUAUCAUUGGAAAAGCUAAAAUUGUAUCCUAAAAUCAUGGUUGCUGCUUUACCAUACUAUUGCAGUCCAUAAAUAUGGAAUGCCAGAGAAACUAGUGUAGGAUAACCCUCAGAUUUUUUUUUUCUUUUUUUCGUGUUAUACAUACUGGUUGGUAAGGGCGGAGGCAUUGGUUGACUGGGGGGACAUCGCCUCCCCAAUUUUUUUUUUUUAAAAAAAAUUAUUUAGCUAUUAAUAAAAAUUUUGCAACAUGGCCCCUUCAAAAAUUUUAUGUGGUCUCCCCAAUUAUAUGGUUAUCCACCUUGUUGAUAGAUUGAUUCAUCUUGUUUUAACUCUUCUGGUAUUUAUGACUACUAAACAUUCAUUCUCGGCUAUGAAAAUGGUGAAAACAAAACUUUGCUACAAAAGUGGAAGAUAAAUUUCUUGUAAAUAAUUUGGUUUUUUAUAUUGAAAGGGAGAUUGUUAAGACAUUCAAUUCACAUUUCAUUCUUGAUGAUUGGGUUUCUCUUAAAAAAAA
RNAcentral lists this unclassified non-coding RNA (2932 nucleotides) under Hevea brasiliensis (rubber tree). The record is from RNAcentral. Lineage: Eukaryota; Viridiplantae; Streptophyta; Magnoliopsida; Malpighiales; Euphorbiaceae.